This 407-nucleotide ribosomal RNA is filed under the name uncultured soil bacterium. RNAcentral describes it as "bacterial SSU rRNA". It matches the Rfam family "Bacterial small subunit ribosomal RNA", at positions 26 to 425 of the family's 1533-position model. The record is from RNAcentral.
AGGGCGAACGCUGGCGGCGUGCUUAACACAUGCAAGUCGAACGAUGACCUCCAGCUUGCUGGGGUGAUUAGUGGCGAACGGGUGAGUAACACGUGAGUAACCUGCCCUCCACUCUGGGAUAAGCACUGGAAACGGUGUCUAAUACCGGAUACGAGCUUCCGCCGCAUGGUGAGGAGCUGGAAAGAAUUUUGGUGGGGGAUGGACUCGCGGCCUAUCAGGUAGUUGGUGAGGUAAUGGCUCGCCAAGCCGACGACGGGUAGCCGGCUGAGAGGGUGACCGGCCACGACGUGGGACUGGACGACACGGCCCAGACCUCCUACGGGAGCAGCAGGUGGGAAUGUGGACAAGUGGGCGCAAGCCUAGACUCCGAGCAUCGCCGCGUGAGUGAGUGAAGGUCCGUUAGGUUA